UACGUAGGGGGCUAGCGUUAUCCGGAAUUACUGGGCGUAAAGGGUGCGUGGGUGGUUUCUUAAGUCAGAGGUGAAAGGCUACGGCUCAACCGUAGUAAGCCUUUGAAACUGGGGAACUUGAGUGCAGGAGAGGAGAGUGGAAUUCCUAGUGUAGCGGUGAAAUGCGUAGAUAUUAGGAGGAACACCAGUUGCGAAGGCGGCUCUCUGGACUGUAACUAACACUGAGGCACGAAAGCGUGGGGAGCAAACAGG
RNAcentral lists this ribosomal RNA (252 nucleotides) under uncultured bacterium. RNAcentral describes it as "partial 16S ribosomal RNA". It matches the Rfam family "Bacterial small subunit ribosomal RNA", at positions 524 to 776 of the family's 1533-position model. The record is from RNAcentral.